Molecule: small nuclear RNA, 136 nt
Filed under: Loxodonta africana (African savanna elephant)
Lineage: Eukaryota; Metazoa; Chordata; Mammalia; Proboscidea; Elephantidae
Description: U4 spliceosomal RNA (ENSLAFG00000033173.1)
Source: RNAcentral
AGCUUGGCACAGUGGCAGUAUCGUUGCCAAUGACGUUUAUCUGAGGCAUGAUUAUUGCCUACUAAAUACACAAAUGCCAUUUCGUUUCCAUAAGCUUUGGGAAGGCUUUUCAUAAUAAAUAAAUACUCAAAAUAGG